GGAGAGAUGGCUGAGUGGUCGAAAGCGCUCCCCUGCUAAGGGAGUAAACCCCGAAAGGGGUUUCGAGGGUUCGAAUCCCUCUCUCUCCG
Molecule: transfer RNA, 89 nt
Filed under: Bacteroidota bacterium
Lineage: Bacteria; Pseudomonadati; Bacteroidota
Also listed under: 4 other names
Description: tRNA-Ser
Rfam family: tRNA
About the family: Transfer RNA (tRNA) molecules are approximately 80 nucleotides in length.
Source: RNAcentral